This 85-nucleotide transfer RNA is filed under the name Marinomonas primoryensis. Its description in RNAcentral is "tRNA-Leu". It matches the Rfam family "tRNA". Rfam says of the family: Transfer RNA (tRNA) molecules are approximately 80 nucleotides in length. Their secondary structure includes four short double-helical elements and three loops (D, anti-codon, and T loops). Further hydrogen bonds mediate the characteristic L-shaped molecular structure. tRNAs have two regions of fundamental functional importance: the anti-codon, which is responsible for specific mRNA codon recognition, and the 3' end, to which the tRNAs corresponding amino acid is attached (by aminoacyl-tRNA synthetases). tRNAs cope with the degeneracy of the genetic code in two manners: having more than one tRNA (with a specific anti-codon) for a particular amino acid; and 'wobble' base-pairing, i.e. permitting non-standard base-pairing at the 3rd anti-codon position. RNAcentral also lists the same sequence under 34 other names. The record is from RNAcentral. Lineage: Bacteria; Pseudomonadati; Pseudomonadota; Gammaproteobacteria; Oceanospirillales; Oceanospirillaceae.
GCCAGUGUGGUGGAAUUGGUAGACACGACGGAUUCAAAAUCCGUUGCCUUCGGGUGUGGCGGUUCGAGUCCGCCUACUGGUACCA